RNAcentral lists this ribosomal RNA (327 nucleotides) under uncultured eukaryote. RNAcentral describes it as "partial 18S ribosomal RNA". It matches the Rfam family "Eukaryotic small subunit ribosomal RNA", at positions 1470 to 1796 of the family's 1831-position model. The record is from RNAcentral.
CCCUUAGAUGUUCUGGGCCGCACGCGCGCUACACUGACGAAUGCAACGAGCUUAUAACCUUGGCCGAAAGGUCUGGGUAAUCUCCAAAUUUCGUCGUGAUGGGGAUAGAUUAUUGCAAUUAUUAAUCUUCAACGAGGAAUGCCUAGUAAGCGCAAGCCAUCAGCUUGCGUUGAUUACGUCCCUGCCCUUUGUACACACCGCCCGUCGCUCCUACCGAUUGAAUGGUCCGGUGAAGCGCUCGGACCGCGGCCUCUUGACGGUUCGCUGUCGAUUGGCUGUGGGAAGUUCGUUAAACCUUAUCAUUUAGAGGAAGGAGAAGUCGUAACA